RNAcentral lists this non-coding RNA (31 nucleotides) under Mus musculus (house mouse). Lineage: Eukaryota; Metazoa; Chordata; Mammalia; Rodentia; Muridae. The record is from RNAcentral.
UCCACGAACAGGGCUUGGCGCUGUCCCCACC